AAUUUUCCACAAUGGGCGCAAGCCUGAUGGAGCAACGCCGCGUGGGGGAUGACGCUCUUCGGAUUGUAAACCCCUUUUCGGGAGGACGACGGCAAUGACGGUACUCCCGGAAGCAGGACCGGCUAACUACGUGCCAGCAGCCGCGGUAAUACGUAGGGUGCAAGCGUUAAUAGGAAUUACUGGGCGUAAAGCGUGCGCAGGCGGUUCGGCAAGAAGGAUGUGAAAUCCCAGGGCUUAACCUUGGAACUGCAUUCUUAACUGCCGGGCUAGAGUAUGUCAGAGGGGGGUAGAAUUCCGCGUGUAGCAGUGAAAUGCGUAGAGAUGCGGAGGAAUACCGAUGGCGAAGGCAGCCCCCUGGGAUAAUACUGACGCUCAUGCACGAAAGCGUGGGGAGCAAA
This 398-nucleotide ribosomal RNA is filed under the name uncultured bacterium. Its description in RNAcentral is "partial 16S ribosomal RNA". It matches the Rfam family "Bacterial small subunit ribosomal RNA", at positions 360 to 772 of the family's 1533-position model. The record is from RNAcentral.